CAAGUACCCUCUGUACCAAUGGGACGACCAGGAUCAUUUUCUAACCCUACAUAAAACAAGCCUAGUAGAUAUAUACCGGUGGAGACAUCUAAUAUACCUGAUGGAGGUGUAAGAAGUCCACUUCGUUAUUUUUAUUGUAGACAGAUUGGUCAUUAUGGUAGUGAAUGUCCUAAUCCCAGAGCCAGUGACAAUUACGUUGUCAGGAUAGAGAGGUUUUGCCUC
RNAcentral lists this long non-coding RNA (222 nucleotides) under Physcomitrium patens. RNAcentral's name for it is "long non-coding RNA (PPAT_LNC014282)". Lineage: Eukaryota; Viridiplantae; Streptophyta; Bryopsida; Funariales; Funariaceae. The record is from RNAcentral.